This 71-nucleotide transfer RNA is filed under the name Marmota monax (woodchuck). Its description in RNAcentral is "tRNA.Ala". It matches the Rfam family "tRNA". From Rfam's summary of the family: Transfer RNA (tRNA) molecules are approximately 80 nucleotides in length. Their secondary structure includes four short double-helical elements and three loops (D, anti-codon, and T loops). Further hydrogen bonds mediate the characteristic L-shaped molecular structure. tRNAs have two regions of fundamental functional importance: the anti-codon, which is responsible for specific mRNA codon recognition, and the 3' end, to which the tRNAs corresponding amino acid is attached (by aminoacyl-tRNA synthetases). tRNAs cope with the degeneracy of the genetic code in two manners: having more than one tRNA (with a specific anti-codon) for a particular amino acid; and 'wobble' base-pairing, i.e. permitting non-standard base-pairing at the 3rd anti-codon position. Lineage: Eukaryota; Metazoa; Chordata; Mammalia; Rodentia; Sciuridae. The record is from RNAcentral.
GGGGUUGUAGCUCAGUGGUAGAGCGCUUGCCUAGCAUGUAUGAAGCACUGGGUUUGAUCCUCAGCACCACA